UCCUGCAUCCGCUGCUUCAAUGUGUUAUUCUGAAUAGAAGCAAUCUCGGUGGAUUUCUGCGAUUGUUGCGCCUUCAGAUCGGCAAUUUGUCGGAACAGAACGGAAUCAAGUGAACCUUUUGGCACUGUAAUUCAUUGUCAGUGUGAAUAUCAAUACCAUUAUGCGGAUAAGAAACAUCAUUUAUAACAUACUUUUUUUAUUGUUGAAUAUGUUCAAAGUGUUCCAGAAGCAAGAAAAUUUUAUUUAAAUGUGUUGAACGGUUUCACCAUUCGUUGGUGCCAAUAUGUCUUUUGCACAGGGGGCAAGUAUGCUCGAUGUCCUUGGCGCAAUCCGUGC
Drosophila nasuta is the source of this 336-nucleotide long non-coding RNA. RefSeq lists it as uncharacterized. The transcript is spliced from 3 exons. Lineage: Eukaryota; Metazoa; Arthropoda; Insecta; Diptera; Drosophilidae. The record is from RefSeq and is a predicted model, not a curated record.